CUAACACAUGCAAGUCGAGCGGUAACAUUUCUAGCUUGCUAGAAGAUGACGAGCGGCGGACGGGUGAGUAAUGCUUGGGAACAUGCCUUGAGGUGGGGGACAACAGUUGGAAACGACUGCUAAUACCGCAUAAUGUCUACGGACCAAAGGGGGCUUCGGCUCUCGCCUUUAGAUUGGCCCAAGUGGGAUUAGCUAGUUGGUGAGGUAAUGGCUCACCAAGGCGACGAUCCCUAGCUGGUUUGAGAGGAUGAUCAGCCACACUGGGACUGAGACACGGCCCAGACUCCUACGGGAGGCAGCAGUGGGGAAUAUUGCACAAUGGGCGCAAGCCUGAUGCAGCCAUGCCGCGUGUGUGAAGAAGGCCUUCGGGUUGUAAAGCACUUUCAGUCAGGAGGAAAGGUUAGUAGUUAAUACCUGCUAGCUGUGACGUUACUGACAGAAGAAGCACCGGCUAACUCCGUGCCAGCAGCCGCGGUAAUACGGAGGGUGCGAGCGUUAAUCGGAAUUACUGGGCGUAAAGCGUACGCAGGCGGUUUGUUAAGCGAGAUGUGAAAGCCCCGGGCUCAACCUGGGAACUGCAUUUCGAACUGGCAAACUAGAGUGUGAUAGAGGGUGGUAGAAUUUCAGGUGUAGCGGUGAAAUGCGUAGAU
RNAcentral lists this ribosomal RNA (650 nucleotides) under uncultured bacterium. Its description in RNAcentral is "bacterial SSU rRNA". It matches the Rfam family "Bacterial small subunit ribosomal RNA", at positions 48 to 695 of the family's 1533-position model. The record is from RNAcentral.